Long non-coding RNA from Phyllostomus hastatus (greater spear-nosed bat), 1530 nucleotides. RefSeq lists it as uncharacterized. The transcript has 3 exons. The record is from RefSeq and is a predicted model, not a curated record. NCBI's taxonomy places the organism in Eukaryota, Metazoa, Chordata, Mammalia, Chiroptera, Phyllostomidae.
CUAUUCGAAGAUGGGGACUGGUGAGGAUGUUUUUUCAAUCUGAAGCAGUUUCUUGAACUUGUGAAAUCUGAGAGUUUAUAGAAAUUUGAGGAGAUAACCAACUGGCGCCUGGAAAAGUCAGCUUGGAGAGAAGGAUAUGUCCACAGGGCCGUUCACAGAGAAGACGGCUGAGGCACGGGGAGGCAGAGGUGAGGGAAAGAGUGUCAGUAAGACUGGAAGGAGUAAAAGUCUAGCAGACUUCCUGUUACUGGGAGGCAGUAACUUGGAAAUUUUUUUGAGACCCUGACAGGUCUGAAGAAUUCAUGCUCUCAUUCACCUGGUAUGGAAGCUGUUGGGGAGGUUUUUCUAGGAAAGGACGCAGAUUUGAGCACAGAUUCCAGGUGAAGACACCAGAGUGGCCCCUCCCUUCGGGGUGCAGGCACGCCCUACCAGAGACCCUGCUCCUGCCUCUACUUCAGAGCACUUAUUGCUUAGUGGCUUGAAUUGGUCUGUUUCCUGAGCAUCUCCUCACUUACUCCAAUUGUUAAUAACCUGCAAAAGACAAGGUGGCCGUGUAUUCUGUCUCUGCUGAAGGACUGAUAAUGUGCACAGGCUCUUCCCUCCUUUAUUCCUGUCAUCUGUUUCCUGAAGUUUGAAUCAAGGGGAAACCAGGGUCCAAAGGUUCCCUGAGUGGCCAGCACUGCUAGCGUGACAUAUACAAACCAACCAGUUUGUCCAGUGGGGUCCCUACACCAACAUCCAUUGUUUCUCUCUGAAUUUUCUGAUUUACAUUCUUUUUCCAGCAAGAAUACUCCCCCUUAAAAGCCCUGAAAAUUUCUCACUUUAUUGUUUUAAAUUAGAAUGUUCUAUUCUUGCACUCUGUCAGUCUCCCCUCUUCCCUUCUUCUCCCAGUUCCUUCUGCGGUAACAGAAUAUCUCACCUGAUGAAUUUUUUUAAAAAAAUUACAUUUUGUUUAACUUUCUUCCCCAAGAGAGCUACUCAGAAAUAGCACGUACUGUGAGGUCUGUUUGUAGGUGAUGUUUCCAGCCCUGCAUCUCAGCACUGGCCCCUGGCCGAGGGUCUCACACCUGCUGUGGUGACUGAGGGCAGACUCACCUGGGCCCUUUAUGGCUACAGUAAGGUCACAGAUAAUGACUGCCAGGGGUUGAAAGACCCCUCACCCUGGUGACACAGGCCCUUGUCCAGGGUCUUUUUAUUCAUAAUGGCAGAUAAGUCACUUCACGGGUCUGUAUAUUUCAACGAGGAUAAAAAUCCUACCGACCUCAUAAACUUUUGAGGCAUGUUGAGAAAUGGUAGAGUGAAUAUAUUUUAGAAAAUAUAAGGUAUGCAUUUAUAUACAAGUAAACAUUCAAUGUAUACAAGCAAACACUUGUCCAAAUCCAGAAAAUGGACACCACCCAGAGUGAACUCGAACAGAAACCGGGAUGUGUAAAUGCAGGUUCACCAGUUCUAGCAAACGGGCCAGCCAGGUGGGGAACGCUGGCGAUGGGGGAGACUAUGCACGUGUGAAGGAAGGGGGUAUGUGUGAAA